GACGAACGCUGGCGGCGUGCUUAACACAUGCAAGUCGAACGGCAAGGCCCUGCUUUUGUGGGGUUCUCGAGUGGCGAACGAGUGAGUAACACGUACGUACCCUGCCCUUGCAUUUCGGGUAACUUCCGGAAACUAGGGCUAAUACCGGCUAGGUGCCCCUGCUGCAUGGUGGGGGUUGGAAAGUUUCGGUGGUUGGGGAUGGAAUCGCGGUUUAGCAGCUUGUUGGUGAGGUAGUGGCUUACGAAGGCGUUGACGGGUAUCCGGCCUGAGAGGGUGACCGGGCACAGUGGGAGUGAGAUACGGCCCAGAGUAGUACGGGAGACAGCAGAGUGGAAUAUUGCACAAUGGGCGCAUGCCUGAUGCAGCAUCGCCGCGUGCGGGAUGAUGGCCUUCGGGUUGGAAAGCGCUUUCGCGGGUAACGAAGCGUGAGUGACGGUAAUGGAUAAAGAAGCACCGGCUAACUACGUG
RNAcentral lists this ribosomal RNA (468 nucleotides) under uncultured bacterium. Its description in RNAcentral is "partial 16S ribosomal RNA". It matches the Rfam family "Bacterial small subunit ribosomal RNA", at positions 28 to 507 of the family's 1533-position model. The record is from RNAcentral.